Molecule: ribosomal RNA, 445 nt
Filed under: uncultured Gracilibacteraceae bacterium
Lineage: Bacteria; Bacillati; Bacillota; Clostridia; Eubacteriales; Gracilibacteraceae
Description: bacterial SSU rRNA
Rfam family: Bacterial small subunit ribosomal RNA
Source: RNAcentral
CCUACGGGUGGCUGCAGUGGGGAAUAUUGCACAAUGGGGGAAACCCUGAUGCAGCAACGCCGCGUGGAGGACGAAUGCCUUCGGGUUGUAAACUCCUUUGAUGAGGGACGAAUAAAUGACGGUACCUCAAAAACAAGCCACGGCUAACUACGUGCCAGCAGCCGCGGUAAUACGUAGGUGGCAAGCGUUGUCCGGAAUUAUUGGGCGUAAAGAGCGCGUAGGCGGUUUCCUAAGUCAGAUGUGAAAACCCCGGGCUUAACCUGGGACCUGCAUUUGAAACUGGGAGACUAGAGUACAGGAGAGGUAAGUGGAAUUCCUAGUGUAGCGGUGAAAUGCGUAGAUAUUAGGAGGAACACCAGUGGCGAAGGCGACUUACUGGACUGUAACUGACGCUGAGGCGCGAAAGCGUGGGGAGCAAACAGGAUUAGAUACCCCUGUAGUCCUC